This 68-nucleotide transfer RNA is filed under the name Urva javanica (small Asian mongoose). RNAcentral's name for it is "tRNA-Trp". The record is from RNAcentral. Lineage: Eukaryota; Metazoa; Chordata; Mammalia; Carnivora; Herpestidae.
AGGGGUUUAGGCUAGACUAGACCAAGGGCCUUCAAAGCCCUAAGCAAAUCAUACAGAUUUAAUCCCUG